This 897-nucleotide ribosomal RNA is filed under the name Kalmusia longispora. Its description in RNAcentral is "partial large subunit ribosomal RNA". It matches the Rfam family "Eukaryotic large subunit ribosomal RNA", at positions 44 to 958 of the family's 3401-position model. The record is from RNAcentral. Lineage: Eukaryota; Fungi; Ascomycota; Dothideomycetes; Pleosporales; Didymosphaeriaceae.
UCAUAAGCGGAGGAAAAGAAACCAACAGGGAUUGCCCUAGUAACGGCGAGUGAAGCGGCAACAGCUCAAAUUUGAAAUCUGGCCCUCUUUGGGGGUCCGAGUUGUAAUUUGCAGAGGGUGCUUUGGCAUUGGCGGCGGUCUAAGUUCCUUGGAACAGGACAUCGCAGAGGGUGAGAAUCCCGUACGUGGGCGCCUGCCUUUGCCGUGUAAAGCCCCUUCGACGAGUCGAGUUGUUUGGGAAUGCAGCUCUAAAUGGGAGGUAAAUUUCUUCUAAAGCUAAAUACCGGCCAGAGACCGAUAGCGCACAAGUAGAGUGAUCGAAAGAUGAAAAGUACUUUGGAAAGAGAGUCAAAUAGCACGUGAAAUUGUUGAAAGGGAAGCGCUUGCAGCCAGACGUGCCCGCAGUUGCUCACCCAGGCUCCGGCCUGGGGCACUCUUCUGCGGGCAGGCCAGCAUCAGUUUGGGCGGUUGGAUAAAGGCCUCUGUCACGUAUCUCCCUUCGGGGUGACCUUAUAGGGGAGGCGCAAUGCAACCAGCCCGGACUGAGGUCCGCGCAUCUGCUAGGAUGCUGGCGUAAUGGCUGUAAGCGGCCCGUCUUGAAACACGGACCAAGGAGUCUAACAUCUAUGCGAGUGUUUGGGUGUCAAGCCCGGGCGCGUAAUGAAAGUGAACGGAGGUGGGAACCCUUUGGGUGCACCAUCGACCGAUCCUGAUGUCUUCGGAUGGAUUUGAGUAAGAGCAUAGCUGUUGGGACCCGAAAGAUGGUGAACUAUGCUUGAAUAGGGUGAAGCCAGAGGAAACUCUGGUGGAGGCUCGCAGCGGUUCUGACGUGCAAAUCGAUCGUCAAAUUUGGGCAUAGGGGCGAAAGACUAAUCGAACCAUCUAGUAGCUGGUCUG